Long non-coding RNA from Sorghum bicolor (sorghum), 1355 nucleotides. RefSeq lists it as uncharacterized. The transcript has 2 exons. The record is from RefSeq and is a predicted model, not a curated record. NCBI's taxonomy places the organism in Eukaryota, Viridiplantae, Streptophyta, Magnoliopsida, Poales, Poaceae.
CCCUGUACACAUGUUUUUUUUGAAGAAACCCCCUGUACACAUGUGCUCACGGUAGUAGUACGCUAGUACUGCGAGCACAGGAACUCCCUCUCUCUGCCUCAUCCAUCGCCCUCCUCUGCUCUUCAUUUUGCCCAGGUGCAGCAGCUCACUCUGCCCAAAUCCACCACCGCGAUGGGUGGGGAAUCUCGCCGGCUGAAGGUUGGGUGGUGGCGGCGUGCUCCACUGUGGUGCGGGCUCGGCAACCAUGGCGCCCAGGCAAGCCAAGAAGGCCGGAGCAUGCUGAUGUGCGGGGAUUUGGACUCCAGCAACAACCCUCCUCAACUUGACACUCAGUUCUUCUCCCUUCUCCCUCACAUCUUCCUGUUCUUUUUUUAACCUAUUUGCAACUCCGUAACUCAAAGAUAUAUACCUGAGUGCUCUAGAUGUACAGGUCCUUGUGUUAGUGUUUUAGUCAAAGCUCAAGUUUUUUUUAUGUGCAGCUUUCUACUAAAGAAGGAAUGCUAGUGCUUGUUCUGAUAAUAGUUAGCAUAUAUCUCUUGGCCCAAAAUAUUAUUGAGCACCUAAUUAUUGUGCUGCUCUAGAAUAGAUUUGAGGUCCUUCCCGUGAGAUGUGCUUUGUGUUUUCAGUAAAGGGGAAAAGAAAUAUUCUAAGGCAUGCCUGUGAACCUCACCUUAAUCUUGAUGAUGUUUAACUCCAAUCUUAGGCUUGUUUCCCUCAGACACUCACUCCUUCUCUUGCAGGUCUUGGUUGCUUCAAAAGUGCGUCCAGAGUUGCUUGCAAGCACUUGGGGUUGUCUGGUGAUUUCCUCUCCCGGUCAACCUCCUUCCUCCUCAAGUCCUCAUCCGGUCACCCCAUGUCGACCUCCAUGGUGAUUAAGUCACCCUCUUGUGCUGGUGGAAGAGUUGGUUUUUUUUUUUCAAGCAAGGAGUGGACGAGGUGUGUUCCUGGAGACCUCAACUUUGAGUGAAGAGCCGGGAACUGAGUGGCUGCUACUUUGAUGGAGGCAAGACCCCUUUCAUCUAUAAUACUGAGCUCUUCUUCUACUACUACCCUCUUCCUGCACUCCCAAAUAUUUAAAUCCUAGUCAUGGCUUAGUCAAAGAAAUUCACUGUAUAUUGUCCAGCAGUUGCUACUAGAGUGGAUUAUCUCGUUCUAGAAGGGCAUGGCAACUCUUGUAGCUACAGUGAGAUGUAGUACUAUGUAGUGGCUCCAGUGUUUUGUACUACUACUCUCUAUCCUUAUUUACCAUAGCUCAAACUAGUGCAAGAGUGGACACAAAGAUAUGUAUGUGCCUCAAGGUGUACAGAAUGAUAUAUGUUCCUGUGAAAAUUUUUAUGAAGUUACAUUGGUCCAAA